CGUUGUUGCAGUUAAAAAGCUCGUAGUUGAAGUGAGGGAGUGUGUGGGUAUGAGAGCUAGUCUCAAGUACUCACAACCUCCCCCCUCCAAUCGGUGUAGUGGGGUAUUCAGUUAUUCUACUACUCCUUUGGUCGUUUACUGUGAGAAAAUUAGAGUGUUCAAAGCGGGCGUUUGUUUGAAUAGAUUAGCAUGGAAUAAUGAUUGAAGGCUUUCGUGUUCGAUUUGAUUGGUUUGUUCAUGGAAGCAAGGUUAAAAGGAACAGUUGGGGGUAUUCAUAUUCACUAGUUAGAGGUGAAAUUCUCGGAUUUAUGGAAGAUGAACAGGUGCGAAAGCAUUUACCAAGGAUGUUUUCAUUAAUCA
RNAcentral lists this ribosomal RNA (360 nucleotides) under Blastocystis sp. subtype 2. Its description in RNAcentral is "SSU rRNA". It matches the Rfam family "Eukaryotic small subunit ribosomal RNA", at positions 608 to 979 of the family's 1831-position model. The record is from RNAcentral. Lineage: Eukaryota; Bigyra; Opalinata; Blastocystidae.